RNAcentral lists this ribosomal RNA (490 nucleotides) under uncultured bacterium. RNAcentral describes it as "partial 16S ribosomal RNA". It matches the Rfam family "Bacterial small subunit ribosomal RNA", at positions 30 to 507 of the family's 1533-position model. The record is from RNAcentral.
AUUGAACGCUGGCGGCAGGCCUAACACAUGCAAGUCGAACGGUAACAGGAAGCAGCUUGCUGCUUCGCUGACGAGUGGCGGACGGGUGAGUAAUGUCUGGGAAGCUGCCUGAUGGAGGGGGAUAACUACUGGAAACGGUAGCUAAUACCGCAUAAUGUCGCAAGACCAAAGAGGGGGACCUUCGGGCCUCUUGCCAUCGGAUGUGCCCAGAUGGGAUUAGCUUGUUGGUGGGGUAACGGCUCACCAAGGCGACGAUCCCUAGCUGGUCUGAGAGGAUGACCAGCCACACUGGAACUGAGACACGGUCCAGACUCCUACGGGAGGCAGCAGUGGGGAAUAUUGCACAAUGGGCGCAAGCCUGAUGCAGCCAUGCCGCGUGUAUGAAGAAGGCCAUCGGGUUGUAAAGUACUUUCAGCGGGGAGGAAGGGAGUAAAGUUAAUACCUUUGCUCAUUGACGUUACCCGCAGAAGAAGCACCGGCUAACUCCGUG